Molecule: non-coding RNA, 31 nt
Filed under: Rattus norvegicus (Norway rat)
Lineage: Eukaryota; Metazoa; Chordata; Mammalia; Rodentia; Muridae
Source: RNAcentral
UCACAAAAGAAUAUAUAAGGGCAAUAAAGGG